GAUGAACGCUGGCGGCGUGCCUAAUACAUGCAAGUCGAGCGAACAGACGAGGAGCUUGCUCCUCUGACGUUAGCGGCGGACGGGUGAGUAACACGUGGAUAACCUACCUAUAAGACUGGGAUAACUUCGGGAAACCGGAGCUAAUACCGGAUAAUAUAUUGAACCGCAUGGUUCAAUAGUGAAAGACGGUUUUGCUGUCACUUAUAGAUGGAUCCGCGCCGCAUUAGCUAGUUGGUAGGGUAACGGCUUACCAAGGCAACGAUGCGUAGCCGACCUGAGAGGGUGUUCGGCCACACUGGACCUGAGCCACGGUCCAGCCUCCGACGGGAGGCAGCGGUAGGGAAUCUUCCGCAAUGGGCGAAAGCUUGCCGGAGCAACGCCGCGUGGGUGAUGAAGGUCUUCGGAUCGUAAAACUCUGUUAUAGGGAAGAACAAAUGUGUAAGUAACUAUGCACGUCUUGACGGUACCUAAUCAGAAAGCCACGGCUAACUACGUG
RNAcentral lists this ribosomal RNA (496 nucleotides) under uncultured bacterium. RNAcentral's name for it is "partial 16S ribosomal RNA". It matches the Rfam family "Bacterial small subunit ribosomal RNA", at positions 28 to 507 of the family's 1533-position model. The record is from RNAcentral.